AUACGGAGGACGCGAGCGUUAUCCGGAUUCAUUGGGUUUAAAGGGUGCGCAGGCGGCCGUGCAAGUCAGCGGUGAAAGCCCGGGGCUCAACCCCGGAAGUGCCGUUGAUACUGCAUGGCUGGAAUGCGGUCGAGGCGGGCGGAACGUGGCGGGGAGCGGUGGAAAGCGUAGAUAUGCCACAGAACGCCGAUAGCGGAGGCAGCUCGCCGGGCCUGCAUUGACGCUCGGGCACGAAAGCGUGGGGAUCGAACAGGAUUAGAUACCCUGGUAGUCCACGCCGUAAACGAUGGGCGCUCGUCGUCGGCGACAGACAGUCGGCGGCCAAGCGAAAGCGAUAAGCGCCCCACCUGGGGAGUACGGUCGCAAGGCUGAAACUCAAAUGAAUUGACGGGG
RNAcentral lists this ribosomal RNA (393 nucleotides) under uncultured bacterium. RNAcentral describes it as "partial 16S ribosomal RNA". It matches the Rfam family "Bacterial small subunit ribosomal RNA", at positions 523 to 918 of the family's 1533-position model. The record is from RNAcentral.